Molecule: ribosomal RNA, 460 nt
Filed under: uncultured bacterium
Lineage: Bacteria
Description: partial 16S ribosomal RNA
Rfam family: Bacterial small subunit ribosomal RNA
Source: RNAcentral
CCUACGGGAGGCAGCAGUGAGGAAUAUUGGUCAAUGGGCGCGAGCCUGAACCAGCCAAGUAGCGUGAAGGAUGAAUGCCCUACGGGUUGUAAACUUCUUUUAUAAAGGAAUAAAAUGUUCCACGUGUGGGUUUUUGUAUGUACCAUAUGAAUAAGGAUCGGCUAACUCCGUGCCAGCAGCCGCGGUAAGACGGAGGAUCCGAGCGUUAUCCGGAUUUAUUGGGUUUAAAGGGAGCGCAGGUGGUUUGGUAAGUCAGUUGUGAAAGUUUGCGGCUCAACCGUAAAAUUGCAGUUGAAACUGGCAGUCUUGAGUACAGUAGAGGUGGGCGGAAUUCGUGGUGUAGCGGUGAAAUGCUUAGAUAUCACGAAGAACUCCGAUUGCGAAGGCAGCUCACUGGACUGAAACUGACACUGAGGCUCGAAAGUGUGGGUAUCAAACAGGAUUAGAUACCCUAGUAGUC